RNAcentral lists this ribosomal RNA (406 nucleotides) under uncultured bacterium. RNAcentral describes it as "partial 16S ribosomal RNA". It matches the Rfam family "Bacterial small subunit ribosomal RNA", at positions 29 to 526 of the family's 1533-position model. The record is from RNAcentral.
AUCGAACGCUGGCGGCAUGCCUAACACAUGCAAGUCGAACGAGUGGCAGACGGGUGGGUAAUGUAUGGGAAAAUGCCUGGUGGAAGGGGCUCACUACUGGAAAAGGUAACUGAUACCGGAUACAAUCGGCAGUGCCCCGAUGGGAUGAGGUAGUAGGUGGGGUAAAGGCUGACCUAGGCGAAGGUACCUAGCUGGUCUGAGAGGAUGACCAGCCACAUUGGAACUGAGAAACGGUCCAGACGCGUACGGGAGGCAGCAGUGGGGAAUAUGGCACAAGGGGCGCAAGCCUGAUGCAGCCAUGCCGCGUGUAUGAAGAAGGCCUUCGGGUUGUAAAGUACUUUUAGCGGGGAGGCGUUACCCGCAGAAGAAGCACCGGCUAACUCCGUGCCAGCAGCCGCGGUAAUUC